Molecule: long non-coding RNA, 1549 nt
Organism: Pyrus x bretschneideri (Chinese white pear)
Lineage: Eukaryota; Viridiplantae; Streptophyta; Magnoliopsida; Rosales; Rosaceae
Exons: 9
Source: RefSeq, a predicted model, not a curated record
CAGAAAGUGCUAAUUAAAUCACAAAUAAUCGCAACAACAGCAGAUAUUAUAUUUUCAACAGAUAAUUAUUCAAAUUAUAAGGGACGCUUUAGUAAAAUGCUAAAGUAGUUUUGCGACAUUAAAUUUUUUAUUUUUAUUUAAUCAUUUUUCUAGUUGCUAUAUAGACAUUACAAGAGUAUAUGAGUUCUGCGUGCGCAUAAAGUACAUAUGGAGUUAUGGACAACAAUAGACAGAACAAUGAGCACUCAGAAUUCCAUAACUCCAUAACUCUAAGAUGUGAGGGUUCACCGACUCAAGAUGUGAACCCUCACAGAAUUCCUUUCUAUUUCCCCAUAAAGUAUAUAAAGUACAUGUGGGAAACUUUCAAGAUGUGACGGUUCACCUCACCCACUCUGGGUACAGAAUUCCUUUCUAUUUCCCCUUAAAAUUAAAAUUAUAUAAUACUAAAAGAGAAAAACAAACUGAAACACCGUUCAUAGAGCAGUGUGAUACCGAUUUUAUCCUGCUUGAUUUGUUUAAUUUCGUUUGGACCAUUUUUACACGUGUUGGUGAUCGAUGCUUCCUUUCUCUUUUCCUCUUUUCCAUACUCUUUUGCUUCUUCUUUUUCUAUCGAAGGGGAUGAAAACACCCCUCAUUUUCCAUCGACUUCUCUUUCUCGGUCUCAACAGGGAUGAGUUUCACAGCAGCUCAGAGUCUUACAUAUUUGAAAGUUGAAUCUAAGCCUUUCAAAACCUUUGUAAAAGUGCUGUCAAUUGUAAGGUAUUCCGUGCAACAGAGCUUGAUAGCAAUUUCGGCUUCGAGUUCAGAGAGAACUAGCUGCCAUAGUUCAAAUCCAAUUUCAAACCUUAUUUGUACGUCUUUUGUUUUAUCGCUGGUUAGCCAAAUUUUGUCAAUUUAGGCAAGUCGCACCAAUCUACCAUUGAAAGCUCUGGAGGCAGGGUGCCCAAUAAUUGACUCCAAUUUCCAAAUGAACACAAAGUCAUCUCGUCUACCAGAAGGGCAGGUACACUCAUGAAUCCCAACUGCCUUGCAUAGGAGUAAAAAAGAUUGUCCACAGGCAGAGAUGGUUUUAUGCUUGACCGAAUUGUUAAAAUUAUUUCAUGACGAGGCUGAAAAGGCUGGGGUGUUCCAACCCAGUUCCAGUUCUCUCUCGCCAGUUUUCAAGGAGCACAUCGUAGAUGGUAUGCUCACAGAACUCGCCUGCUUGCUUCUUCAGAUGCCUUCCGUGCAAUGUUUGAUGGUGAGAUUGAAGAUGUAAGUGUACUAAAUUGGAAGCUCAAGUAUUGAACAAUAUGAUUUACUUCAUUUGUUAGUUGAUUACUUGAGGAAAAAUGUACAUCCUCAUCUACAGAAAAACAAAGAAGAAAGAAGAGUGAAGUACUGAAUGUAGUGUGAUGAGUUGGAACAUGGAAAAUGAAUAUAUUUUUAUGUGAUUGUAUUUGUAUGAACAACUUAAUCCACAACUUUUUCUAUGUAAUGUAUUCUUCAAAUACCUAUCUGUUCAUUAUUACACAUAAGGAUGCAAAUAUACUUUGGUAAGGACGUAGAC